RNAcentral lists this ribosomal RNA (775 nucleotides) under uncultured Neocallimastigales. RNAcentral describes it as "partial large subunit ribosomal RNA". It matches the Rfam family "Eukaryotic large subunit ribosomal RNA", at positions 22 to 647 of the family's 3401-position model. Lineage: Eukaryota; Fungi; Neocallimastigomycota; Neocallimastigomycetes; Neocallimastigales. The record is from RNAcentral.
GUACACGCUGUGACUAGCAUAUCAAUAAGCGGAGGAAAAGAAACUAACAAGGAUUCCCCUAGUAACGGCGAGUGAAGCGGGAAGAGCUCAAAUUUGAAAUCUUAAAGGGUUUCCCUUUACGAAUUGUAGUUUAAAGAAGUGUAUUCUGUUGAGGUUUUGGUAAAAGUUCUUUGGAAUAGGACAUCAUAGAGGGUGAGAAUCCCGUAUUUGACCUUUACUUUCAACUUUGUGAUACACUUUCGAAGAGUCGGAUUGUUUGGGAAUGCAGUCCAAAAUGGGUGGUAAAUUUCAUCUAAAGCUAAAUAUUGGCGAGAGACCGAUAGCGAACAAGUACCGUGAGGGAAAGAUGAAAAGAACUUUGAAAAGAGAGUUAAACAGUACGUGAAAUUGUCAAAAGGGAAGCGUUUGACACCAGUGUUGUUUUUCUGAAAAUCAAUUAAAGAACUGUUUAUGCUAAGCUGUUUAGACUUUAUCAGCUAAUCUGUUUAGUUUUGAGCUUUUCUUUAAUGCACUUUUCAGUUAACAAGUCAACAUCAAUUUCUUUUGCUGUAAAAAAGCUUGAGGAAGGUGGCUUGAGAUUCGUCUUAAGUGUUUAUAGCCUCUUGCCUAUGCAGUCGGAGAGAUUGAGGUCUGCAGCGUAGAUCCUUCGGGGCUAAAUGCAUUUGUGCUAAGUUAUAGCAUUUUAUAGACAACUUGUUGACUAUGAUUUGUCUUGUAGCUUACUCGCUUAUGUUAUUUUACCUACGCUUAGGAUGUUGACGAGACUGUCGAUCUC